GGAACAUGUCCAAAUAGGGGCCUACCGUUGAAAUGUGUGUGGGUGAUAUGGCAGGUACACGUGGAAUACUAUCAUGGUUUCCGUCUACAUCGGCGAGUGUCUACGAUUUGUUAUGAAAUAUACCAGGAGUCUACAAAACAGACUGUGCCGGCCGUACGUUAUCUGCUUGUCGCUUCCAGUGGGAAUUAGCAGACAGAUAGACUGAGGCGCCUAACAAAAGUUCACGACCUGACAACUCAGUGUAAAUGUCAUCAGAAUAAUGAAGCUGAUCCUUCGACGCACACGGAAUCCAUAAACCAUAAACAACGAAUCCAGAAGCUAAUUAUCUCAUCAUAUCAAACGAUAAUUUGUGGCGAGUUUGCCCCACACUUUCCAUUGCAAUACAGACCCCAUAGUCUUCACUAGACUUAGAAAGUCGAUCCCCGUGUUUGUCUAUCUACCGUCUGUGGAGUGGGACUAGAUAAUGGUAGACUGCUGACCGCGGCGUCAGUGGCCAGUCCAUCGUGAAAUCGAGCAGGGUUCACAACGAGGCUGUGAAGAUGGCGGGCCGAGAAAGGGGUAGCAAUACAUAUGGAUAUCUGGAGUUGGGUGGGGGUACAAUAUCUAGUAGUGGGGCGCAGUCUCUAUUUAGGUGGGUGGCGGCCAGCGGGGUGGUGUCUUAUUGCUAUAGCAAAGAACAACAUACAUUUCCAUAGGCGGAUCUAGGGGGGUGCCCCAGGGUCAAGCCCCCACCCCCUAAAUUUUGCGACAGUUAUAAUAUUUUAUUAUAUAUUAAUUUCCAUCCCAUUCCAAACCUCCCCUAAAGUUCCCUUGGCAUUCCACCUCAUGUCAUUGGGGUCCCACUAAGUGGAUUUUCUAGAUCCGCCCCUGAUUACCGUCCUAACAUAGGGUGAGGCACAGCCCCUUCCCUCUUUUCUGCCCAUACCCCUCCCACCGCCGGUUCUUACGCUCCGGAAUCAACGGUCCAGGGCCCCGUUCCACGAAACGACCUUAGCCCUAAGAUCACCUAAAGUGCAUAGCUACCUUAUACACUUAAGGCGAUCUUAGCGUUAAGAUCGCUUCGUGGAACGGGGUCCUGAUAAAACAAUCAAAGAAACAAGCACUUACCUAUAUCCAUAUAGGCCUAUCCACGCAGUACUUGUAGAAUAUAUUGCAACAGAACAGCACAGUCGCUAGCAGUCGUCAUUAGGUAGUAUCAGAUCCAUGCAUGUUUUAUGUUUUUUAACAUUUAAAAUAAAUAUGACGAUAAAUGUCAAGCAGCGAUUCUGUUUGCACAUUUCUGAAGUUAAACUAUAUUCAGAAUGAUGUACGUAGUAUCGCGUUGACAUCAAUAAGCAUAUUAAAAUGUCAAAGCAUUGUCGACGUCACGUCAAAGGAAUGUUAACGUUUUUAAAUGGUAAUGUUGCCGACAGUCUAUUUCGAAAUGUCUUUGACAUGUGUGAGGCCCCAUGGUGAUCUCUGCCGUGUUAUAUAAUUAAUGUGGGCGAAGAAUAUAAUAAUAAUAAUAAUAAUAAUAAUAAUAAUAAGGGCACUUCAAACGAGCAAGGUGGGGUGGGGAGGGGGUCACGUCAAAGUUUCGAUGUGUUAGUUGUGCGAGCAAUAAAACCAGAAACAAUCCUAGAUUUCUUUUCAGACCCAAUCCUAUGCCAAUCCCAUCCCCACAUUAACAUAGUAGGAUGGUGCCUAUAGAAGAUC
Molecule: long non-coding RNA, 1695 nt
Filed under: Gigantopelta aegis
Lineage: Eukaryota; Metazoa; Mollusca; Gastropoda; Neomphalida; Peltospiridae
Description: uncharacterized LOC121377016
Source: RNAcentral